RNAcentral lists this ribosomal RNA (540 nucleotides) under uncultured eukaryote. RNAcentral's name for it is "bacterial SSU rRNA". It matches the Rfam family "Eukaryotic small subunit ribosomal RNA", at positions 21 to 549 of the family's 1831-position model. The record is from RNAcentral.
UAGUCAUAUGCUUGUCUCAAAGAUUAAGCCAUGCAUGUCUAAGUAUAAGCAAUCUAUACGGUGAAACUGCGAAUGGCUCAUUAAAUCAGUUAUCGUUUAUUUGAUGGUACCUUACUACUUGGAUAACCGUAGUAAUUCUAGAGCUAAUACAUGCGCCAAGCCCUGACUUCGGAAAGGGUGCAUUUAUUAGAUUCAAACCAUCGGCUACGCUGGGCAACUGGCGUUGGCCUUUGAUGGUGAGUCAUAAUAACUUAGCGAAUCGAAUGGCCUUGUGCUGUCGAUGCUUCAUUCAAAUUUCUGCCCUAUCAGCUUUCGAUGGUAGGAUCUUGGCCUACCAUGGCUAUACCGGGUAACGGGGAAUUAGGGUUCGAUUCCGGAGAGGGAGCUUGAGAAACGGCUACCACAUCCAAGGAUGGCAGCAGGCGCGCAAAUUACCCAAUCCCGACACGGGGAGGUAGUGACAAUAAAUAACGAUGCUGGAUUAUUUUUAAUCCGGCAAUUGGAAUGAGAGUGAAUUAAAUCUCCACUCGAGGAACCAUU